Burkholderia sp. is the source of this 254-nucleotide non-coding RNA. NCBI's taxonomy places the organism in Bacteria, Pseudomonadati, Pseudomonadota, Betaproteobacteria, Burkholderiales, Burkholderiaceae. The record is from Rfam.
GGAUCGCGACCUGCGUGUCGGUGUCGUCGGCAACCGACAGACAGUUGUCGAUCGCAGCGGNNNNNNNNNNGCGAUCGUCACGCCCGGUUGAAUGUCGGGAUUGCCCGCCUUGCCGAUCGCAGCGAUGCGGCCGCCCUUGAUGCCGAUAUCGGCCUUCACGAUGCCCCAGUGAUCGAGAAUCAGCGCAUUCGUGACGACGGUAUCGACGACAUCGGCCGCGACGCGCUGCGACUGGCCCAUGCCGUCGCGAAUCA